This is a long non-coding RNA of Poecilia latipinna (sailfin molly), 566 nucleotides long. RefSeq lists it as uncharacterized. Lineage: Eukaryota; Metazoa; Chordata; Actinopteri; Cyprinodontiformes; Poeciliidae. The transcript is spliced from 2 exons. The record is from RefSeq and is a predicted model, not a curated record.
AAUCAACAACCACAUUUAACUCAGCACAUGAUGAUUCACACUGGUGAAAAGCCAUUUUCAUGUGGGAGCUGCGGAAAGAGUUUUACUCAGAAACGGCAUUUAACUCCGCACAUGAUGAUUCACACUGGUGAAAAGCCGUAGAACUAUUUUCCAUAUAUGUCCUAUGUUGAGGAUUAUUAUAAAAGUCAUCUAGAUGAAAACUGGAGGGCUUUCUUGUCUAUAAAGUGGUGAAAUGAUUCUUAGAGAUGUACAAGAUGAACUUGAAGUAUUGAUUUGUAUUAUUCUCUAUGGAGAGAAUGAGGUUUACUUUAAAACAUUCUUAAUCCAAAAUUGAAAUUUACUAUAUAAAAUUUUUUUGAGAGGUUUGUCCUUAAAGCAAAACUAGACUGAAACUGAUGCUGUUAUUUGUUUCAAAUUGUAUUAACCCGUCUAUAUAAAAGUUGUUCAAAUAAAUUAACAUGUCUUAUUUAGAAAAUGUCUCCAAUAAUUUGAUGUGUCACUUGUGUUGUAUAAUGUUUCUAUUUUCUGCUGUGGCUGUUUACUAUUAAAGAUCUUUGUUUAAAGUU